This 459-nucleotide ribosomal RNA is filed under the name uncultured Planctomycetaceae bacterium. RNAcentral's name for it is "bacterial SSU rRNA". It matches the Rfam family "Bacterial small subunit ribosomal RNA", at positions 8 to 501 of the family's 1533-position model. Lineage: Bacteria; Pseudomonadati; Planctomycetota; Planctomycetia; Planctomycetales; Planctomycetaceae. The record is from RNAcentral.
AGGCUUUGAUCCUGGCUCAGAAUGAACGUUGGCGGCGUGGAUUAGGCAUGCGAGUCGCGCGAGAAUGUAGCAAUACAGGAAAGCGGCGAAAGGGAGAGGACAACAUGGGAAUCUGCCCGGGGGUCGGGGAUAGCGUCGGGAAACUGGCGGUAAUACUCGAUAAUGUUUACGGACCAAAGGUUUACUGCCCCUGGAUGAGCCCAUGCCCCAUUAGCUAGUUGGCGGUGUAAUAGACCACCAAGGCGAUGAUGGGUAGCUGGUGUGAGAGCACGACCAGCCUCACUGGCACUGAGACACUGGCCAGACACCUACGGGUGGCUGCAGUCGAGAAUCUUCGGCAAUGGACGAAAGUCUGACCGAGCGACGCCGCGUGCGGGACGAAGGCCUUCGGGUUGUAAACCGCUGUCGAGGGGGAUUAAGGGCAACUGUAAAGAACCAUGUGAGGAAGGAGAGGCGAAU